CUUUAAUUACGUCUAAUUCAUAAUGAACACACACUUGAAAAUUUGGAAGAAUAUAUUUUAACCUCAAUGAUUGACAGACACAAUGUUUAUGUUCAAAAUUGUUCUAUUCUUACUUCUGGUAAAAUGUCACGGAGAAGAAAAUUAUUUCAAGGUAUUGGGAAUAACCAGAAUAGCUAGCAAACGUGAAAUUAAAUCGGCGUAUAGAGCCAUUUCGAAAAGAAUACAUCCAGACAAAAACCAGGUAUGUAUCUAAUUUCGUCAAUUUUGAGUAUCGGCUUUAAUGUUUUAUUAAGACAUUUUAUACAAAACUCAUAACCAUCGAAUUGAUUCAUGCGUGUUUUAGAAUUUGUCCCACAAAAACAAUUUUUUUUAAAAGUACGAAUAAUUUUGGACCGGGCACCAUCUACAUGUAAUUAACCAGCGUCACGACCUCCGAAGUUUGGUAUGUAACCCCGAUAUAAAUAGAUAAAAUAACAUAUACAGAUAAGUAUGAACAGCAUACUAGUAUGAUUUUUUUUUAUUCAACAACAAUAUUGCACAUGCUGUUAACAGAUUCCUUCACUGGUACAGCUAUUUCAGUGGAGAUCCCUGUAUAUUAGUGCAUUUAGACCAUAUGGAAUAUUAUAAUGAUUAUUUUUGGUUGGAUUUAUUAUCAGAGAUAAACAAAAAACAAAACGUGUAUCAUCGUUUUAUAUAUAACCUGUCAAACAUCAAUUUCGUACGAGUUGAAAUAGUCAACGAAACUGGUAUUCCUGCUCAACCUUAUACCCCCGCCACACCAAACUUUUCUCAUUACGUUCUGAAAAUGUAGUGAAAGGGAAGUUAACUGUGUGAACACCCAAUAGAAGUAGUACAAACUAUUUAUGGUAAGAUCUGAUUUGAAAUGGCUCUAAAACUGCUCUAUUUUGUUUACUUAGAUGGAGUGGCAAUGUACUUAUGGACGUACUGCGAACGGAAUUGUAGUACUUGGGACGUUUUAUGAAGUGGUUUGGUCGGGCGGCAAUUUGAUUAAAUUCAGCAAAGAGACCGAGUUCGCUUGAAGCAUGUUCAUACCAUUGGCCCACAUACUCAAUGCCUCUUUAAUUCGUCUAAAUACGAUAAAACUAAUAAGAAAGUUGUUUUCCUAUCAAACAUAACGAUGUAUAAAUAUAUUAUCAUUGUUUCAGUGCGAUGCGUUUGCUGCUGAGAAAUUUAUUAAUUUAACUAAAGCAUAUGACACCCUUGUUGACGACGCAAGACGAAGCCGAUACAAAACACGAAACCCAUAUUUUGGACAUAAAAAGGAAGAAUAUGAAUGGAAUAUACCAGUAUGCCCAAAAGGGAAACCUCCUUCCAUAUGGGAAAGUAUCAAAGAAUUAUAUCCUGAUUAUGUCAAUGACUUAUUGUAUAUUUUGACGGACUGGCUGAGGAUGAAACUUGGGAAUACCCUUUCAGUAUUUAAUACUAUCAAUAUGAUAGAAUUACACCGUUUGCUCAACGAAAGGCAAACAACGACUAUGGCUGCAGUAUACUUAAGGCUUAUUUCGCUAAAAUCAACCGUCUAUACAUUGACAGAUAAUUUUAAGAGAGGUCGUUAUGAUGAUUUCCCUGAAUGGUUACGAAGAAUACUUAUCGA
RNAcentral lists this long non-coding RNA (1615 nucleotides) under Mytilus galloprovincialis (Mediterranean mussel). The record is from RNAcentral. Lineage: Eukaryota; Metazoa; Mollusca; Bivalvia; Mytilida; Mytilidae.